CCUACGGGGGGCUGCAGUGGGGAAUAUUGGACAAUGGGGGCAACCCCGAUCCAGCCAUGCCGCGUGUGUGAAGAAGGCCCUCGGGUUGUAAAGCACUUUCAGUGAGGAAGAACGCCUGGUGGUUAAUACCCAUCAGGAAAGACAUCACUCACAGAAGAAGCACCGGCUAACUCCGUGCCAGCAGCCGCGGUAAUACGGAGGGUGCGAGCGUUAAUCGGAAUUACUGGGCGUAAAGCGCGCGUAGGUGGCUUGAUAAGCCGGUUGUGAAAGCCCCGGGCUCAACCUGGGAACGGCAUCCGGAACUGUCAAGCUAGAGUGCAGGAGAGGAAGGUAGAAUUCCCGGUGUAGCGGUGAAAUGCGUAGAGAUCGGGAGGAAUACCAGUGGCGAAGGCGGCCUUCUGGACUGACACUGACACUGAGGUGCGAAAGCGUGGGUAGCAAACAGGAUUAGAUACCCUGGUAGUC
RNAcentral lists this ribosomal RNA (465 nucleotides) under Vreelandella stevensii. RNAcentral's name for it is "partial 16S ribosomal RNA". It matches the Rfam family "Bacterial small subunit ribosomal RNA", at positions 338 to 795 of the family's 1533-position model. Lineage: Bacteria; Pseudomonadati; Pseudomonadota; Gammaproteobacteria; Oceanospirillales; Halomonadaceae. The record is from RNAcentral.